GUGCUCACUUCAGCAGCACAUAUACUAAAAUUGGAACGACACGGAGAAGAUUAGCAUGUCCUCUGCACAAGGAUGAUACGCAAAUUUGUGAAGCAUUGCAUAUUUUU
This is a small nuclear RNA of Lynx canadensis (Canada lynx), 107 nucleotides long. Lineage: Eukaryota; Metazoa; Chordata; Mammalia; Carnivora; Felidae. The record is from Ensembl.